CCCCAUUUGAGAGCCAGAUCAAAAUUGUUGUGUGCACCGCUGGUGAUGAUAUAAGGCUAACAUUAUAAGCUAAAGGCAAUGCUGCCCUGACAAACAUUUGUAUCACUUGACUCUCUUUGUAUCACAUGGCUCUCCUACAUUUGCCCCUCUAGAGAAAGCACGAGAGAUACCUGGAGAAGUACACCAAGCUAGCUAUUCAGAAAAGGAAGCAUGAGGAAGAUCCGAAUGACCAAGCAACACCCAAGCAGCUGAAACUGUGGGAUACACCUCGUGUAACACAGAAAGAAUUGACAAAGCAACUACAGAGAUGAAAGAGAAUCUCAAGGCGGCGAUGCAUGAUGUGGAGUUCAUAGGGACCACCACUGACUGCUGGACAGCAAACAGAAAGGGCUUCAUCGGUGUCACAGCCCACCGGAUACAUCCUACAAGUCUGCAGCGGUGCUCUGCUGCACUAGCAUGCAAGCAGCUGAAAGGACCACACAACUUCACUGCACUUGCAGAUGCUCUGACUAAGAUCCAUACAGAGUUCAACAUCAGAGACAAGAUUGUGCGUACAACGACAGAUAGUGGGUCCAAUUUUCUGAAAGCCUUCAGAGUGUACGGUG
This is a long non-coding RNA of Melanotaenia boesemani (Boeseman's rainbowfish), 605 nucleotides long. RefSeq lists it as uncharacterized. The record is from RefSeq and is a predicted model, not a curated record. The transcript has 3 exons. Lineage: Eukaryota; Metazoa; Chordata; Actinopteri; Atheriniformes; Melanotaeniidae.